RNAcentral lists this ribosomal RNA (230 nucleotides) under uncultured bacterium. Its description in RNAcentral is "partial 16S ribosomal RNA". It matches the Rfam family "Bacterial small subunit ribosomal RNA", at positions 105 to 334 of the family's 1533-position model. The record is from RNAcentral.
CGGACGGUGAGUAUCGUACCGGGAAACUGCCGAGUGGAGGGGAUAACUACUGGAACGGUAGCUAAUACCGCAUAACGUCGCAAGACCAGAGAGGGGGACCUUCGGGCCUCUUGCCAUCGGAUGUGCCCAGAUGGGAUUAGCUAGUAGGUGGGGUAACGGCUCACCUAGGCGACGAUCCCUAGCUGGUCUGAGAGGAUGACCAGCCACACUGGAACUGAGACACGGUCCAG